UUCUGAUCAUCAGCUGGUCGUAUAGACACGUGUCCUAAGGUGAUAGUUCUCAGUCCUCAGUCCUGGAUUCUUGCUUCUUCAAAAGGCACUUUAUUAAUGGGAGGCUCCCAGAACGUGUACCCCAGUGCAGCUUCUCAACAGCUCUGGUGACUGAGUGAGCAGUCCCCGUGCAGAGGCAUGAUGACAGCUAUCCAAUUACACACGGUCAGUGGCCUCUGUUUCACUCUGCAAGCUUCCUCAAUAAUCCCUAUCAUCGUUUAGAACUGCAUGUUUGUUUGAGAGAUCAUCUGACACCAUGCCACUUUCUGUACCAUGAAACUGAAGGUUCAAUGAAGGCAGUAACUCUGGUAUCAUGUUCCGGCAUCACAUGCCCAGCAUGUAGCCCAGCACCUGUCCCAAAGUAUCAAUUCAUAUUUGUUAAAUGAGUGAAUAAAUGCAUGAGUGAA
Molecule: long non-coding RNA, 446 nt
Organism: Suricata suricatta (meerkat)
Lineage: Eukaryota; Metazoa; Chordata; Mammalia; Carnivora; Herpestidae
Exons: 3
Source: RefSeq, a predicted model, not a curated record